AGAUGUGCGUACUACAUGCAAGUCGAACGCACAGCGAAAGGUGCUUGCACCUUUCAGUGAGUGGCGAACGGGUGAGUAACACGUGGACAACCUGCCUCAAGGCUGGGGAUAACAUUUGGAAACAGAUGCUAAUACCGAAUAAAACUUAGUGUCGCAUGACACAAAGUUAAAAGGCGCUUCGGCGUCACCUAGAGAUGGAUCCGCGGUGCAUUAGUUAGUUGGUGGGGUAAAGGCCUACCAAGACAAUGAUGCAUAGCCGAGUUGAGAGACUGAUCGGCCACAUUGGGACUGAGACACGGCCCAAACUCCUACGGGAGGCUGCAGUAGGGAAUCUUCCACAAUGGGCGAAAGCCUGAUGGAGCAACGCCGCGUGUGUGAUGAAGGCUUUCGGGUCGUAAAGCACUGUUGUAUGGGAAGAACAGCUAGAAUAGGAAAUGAUUUUAGUUUGACGGUACCAUACCAGAAAGGGACGGCUAAAUACGUGCCAGCAGCCGCGGUAAUACGUAUGUCCCGAGCGUUAUCCGGAUUUAUUGGGCGUAAAGCGAGCGCAGACGGUUUAUUAAGUCUGAUGUGAAAGCCCGGAGCUCAACUCCGGAAUGGCAUUGGAAACUGGUUAACUUGAGUGCAGUAGAGGUAAGUGGAACUCCAUGUGUAGCGGUGGAAUGCGUAGAUAUAUGGAAGAACACCAGUGGCGAAGGCGGCUUACUGGACUGCAACUGACGUUGAGGCUCGAAAGUGUGGGUAGCAAACAGGAUUAGAUACCCUGGUAGUCCACACCGUAAACGAUGAACACUAGGUGUUAGGAGGUUUCCGCCUCUUAGUGCCGAAGCUAACGCAUUAAGUGUUCCGCCUGGGGAGUACGACCGCAAGGUUGAAACUCAAAGGAAUUGACGGGACCCCGCACAAGCGGUGGAGCAUGUGGUUUAA
Molecule: ribosomal RNA, 927 nt
Filed under: Leuconostoc mesenteroides
Lineage: Bacteria; Bacillati; Bacillota; Bacilli; Lactobacillales; Lactobacillaceae
Description: bacterial SSU rRNA
Rfam family: Bacterial small subunit ribosomal RNA
Source: RNAcentral